GUGAACGAGGAUCACAAGGAAUUGCUGGAUUAAAGAUGAAGGGCGAAGUUGGUGAACCAGGUCAGCCAGAAAAAAAUGGGAAGUCAAGGUCCAAUUAAAUGGACAGGACGGUCGAGCAGGGCCAUUUGGACCACAUAGAAGAGCUGGAUCACAGGUGACGUUUAAUAGGUUUGGACGCAGGCAUUAACUAGACCCACACACAACAAGCACACAAGUGUAG
This is a long non-coding RNA of Corticium candelabrum, 220 nucleotides long. RefSeq lists it as uncharacterized. Lineage: Eukaryota; Metazoa; Porifera; Homoscleromorpha; Homosclerophorida; Plakinidae. The transcript is spliced from 3 exons. The record is from RefSeq and is a predicted model, not a curated record.